RNAcentral lists this ribosomal RNA (1710 nucleotides) under Triticum aestivum (bread wheat). RNAcentral's name for it is "partial small subunit ribosomal RNA". Lineage: Eukaryota; Viridiplantae; Streptophyta; Magnoliopsida; Poales; Poaceae. The record is from RNAcentral.
AUGGCCACCGCCGUCGCCGCACUGCCCUCGGGCUACUUCGGCUCCGUCCAGGGCCGGCCCACGCGCCUCGCUCCGGCAGCCAGCGGACGUAACAGUCUGCUCCUCCGCUGCUCCGCGUCGGGUGGUGAUGGCGCUGGCGGCCCCGACCCGGUCCUCGAGGAGCAAAAGCGGCGCCGAGACGAGCUCUCCGCUCGCGCUUCCUCUGGCGAGUUCACCGAUCAAGGCGCUGGAUGGCUCGCCAAGCUGGGCCCGCCAGGGGCGCUCGCGGCUGGGCUCCUCAAGGUGGCAGGCGUCGGCGCGGCGCGCAGGGGCCCGGAGCUGCCGCAGGUGGCGGGGUCGCUGGCGGCCGGGGACGCCAUCUUCCUGCCGCUAUACGACCACUUCCUCACCCACGGCGGCGUCUUUCGCCUCAACCUCGGGCCCAAGUCUUUUGUCAUCGUCUCUGAUCCAGAUAUAGCCAAGCAUAUCCUGAGGGACAACUCCAAGGCUUAUUCCAAGGGUAUUCUUGCGGAAAUACUGGAGUUUGUGAUGGGCACAGGUCUGAUCCCAGCUGAUGGGGAGGUUUGGCGUGUUCGACGGCGUGCCAUUGUACCGUCAUUGCAUCAGAAGUUUGUAACAGAGAUGAUAGGUCUCUUUGGAAAAGCUUCAGGCCGGCUGUGCGAGAAGUUGGACAAGGCAGCGGCGGAGGGAGAGGCUGUGGAGAUGGAAUCUUUGUUCUCCCGACUAACAUUGGAUGUCAUUGGGAAGGCAGUGUUCAAUUAUGAUUUUGAUUCAUUAUCUUACGAUAAUGGAAUGGUUGAGGCUGUGUAUGUAACACUACGAGAAGCAGAAAUGCGGAGCACUGCUCCUAUUCCAACUUGGAAAAUACCCAUAUGGAAAGACGUCUCCCCUCGACAGAGGAAGGUUAAUGAAGCCCUUGUGCUGAUAAAUAAUAUUCUUGAUGAACUAAUUUCUACAUGCAAGAGGAUGGUAGAUGAAGAAGAUCUGCAGUUUCAUGAGGAAUAUAUGAAUGAGGAAGAUCCUAGUAUUCUUCGCUUUCUAUUGGCAUCCGGAGAAGAUGUGUCCAGCAAGCAGCUUCGUGAUGAUCUGAUGACAAUGCUCAUAGCUGGCCAUGAGACCUCUGCAGCAGUCCUAACAUGGACAUUUUAUCUUCUAUCCAAGUACCCAAAAGUAAUGUCCAAGCUCCAGGCUGAGGUUGAUGAUGUUCUAGGAGAUGGUUUACCUACAAUUGAAGAUGUGAAGAAACUAAACUAUACUACUCGAGUUAUUAACGAAUCUUUGAGACUAUAUCCACAACCGCCAGUUUUAAUUCGUCGGUCCCUUGAGGAUGAUAUGCUAGGGGAGUACCCAAUCGGCAGGGGUGAAGACAUUUUUAUAUCCAUCUGGAAUCUUCAUCGCUGCCCAAAGCACUGGGAUGAUGCAGAUGUUUUUAAUCCGGAAAGGUGGCCUUUGGACGGUCCAAAUCCAAAUGAGACAAACCAAAAAUUCAGUUACUUGCCAUUUGGUGGCGGACCAAGGAAAUGUGUAGGUGAUAUGUUUGCUACUUUUGAGAAUGUGGUGGCAACAGCAAUGCUUGUCAAGCGGUUUGAUUUUCAUAUGGCUCCAGGAGCACCUCCGGUCGAGAUGACAACCGGAGCAACGAUUCACACAACUAAAGGGUUGAACAUGACUGUUAGUCGGAGGACAAAGCCACCUGUAAUUCCAAUUUAG